This 482-nucleotide ribosomal RNA is filed under the name uncultured bacterium. RNAcentral's name for it is "bacterial SSU rRNA". It matches the Rfam family "Bacterial small subunit ribosomal RNA", at positions 30 to 506 of the family's 1533-position model. The record is from RNAcentral.
UUGAACGCUGGCGGCAUGCCUUACACAUGCAAGUCGAACGGCGGCGCGGGAGCAAUCCUGGCGGCGAGUGGCGAACGGGUGAGUAAUACAUCGGAACGUGCCCAAUCGUGGGGGAUAACGCAGCGAAAGCUGUGCUGAUACCGCAUACGAUCUACGGAUGAAAGCAGGGGAUCGCAAGACCUUGCGCGAAUGGAGCGGCCGAUGGCAGAUUAGGUAGUUGGUGAGGUAAAGGCUCACCAAGCCUUCGAUCUGUAGCUGGUCUGAGAGGACGACCAGCCACACUGGGACUGAGACACGGCCCAGACUCCUACGGGAGGCAGCAGUGGGGAAUUUUGGACAAUGGGCGAAAGCCUGAUCCAGCCAUGCCGCGUGCAGGAUGAAGGCCUUCGGGUUGUAAACUGCUUUUGUACGGAACGAAACGGUCUUUUCUAAUACAGAAGGCUAAUGACGGUACCGUAAGAAUAAGCACCGGCUAACUACGU